Molecule: ribosomal RNA, 460 nt
Filed under: uncultured archaeon
Lineage: Archaea
Description: bacterial SSU rRNA
Rfam family: Archaeal small subunit ribosomal RNA
Source: RNAcentral
UGCCACUCUUAACGGGGUGGCUUUUCAGAAGUGUAAAAAGCUUCUGGAAUAAGGGCUGGGCAAGACCGGUGCCAGCCGCCGCGGUAACACCGGCAGCUCAAGUGGUAGCCGCUUUUAUUGGGCCUAAAGCGUCCGUAGCCGGUCUGAUAAGUCUCUGGUGAAAUCCCACAGCUUAACUGUGGGAAUUGCUGGAGAUACUAUCAUGACUCGAGGUCGGGAGAGGCUGGAGGUACUCCCAGGGUAGGGGUGAAAUCCUGUAAUCCUGGGAGGACCACCUGUAGCGAAGGCGUCCAGCUGGAACGAACCUGACGGUGAGGGACGAAAGCCAGGGGCGCGAACCGGAUUAGAUACCCGGGUAGUCCUGGCCGUAAACGAUGUGGACUUGGUGUUGAGAUGGCUUCGAGCUGCCCCAGUGCCGAAGGGAAGCUGUUAAGUCCACCGCCUGGGAAGUACGGCCGCA